This 449-nucleotide unclassified non-coding RNA is filed under the name Hevea brasiliensis (rubber tree). The record is from RNAcentral. Lineage: Eukaryota; Viridiplantae; Streptophyta; Magnoliopsida; Malpighiales; Euphorbiaceae.
UCAACUUAAGACAACAAUCAAAAUAGCAAUCCUUGUUAACAUGAGUUCUGGUUUCAUAUGAAUGUAUCGUAUAACUUAACUACAUAGUUCUUUAAACAAGGAGCUAAACUCUGAGUUCAGUGAGCAAGGAAUGAUAAAUAACGAAAAAAUGUGAUCACUCAAUUAGUACUACAAAAAUGAGCAGAAAGAUUAGACUGUGCUUGCAUUUCAAACUCAUAAGAAAUAGAAAUUUGCUCCUCACCCCUAAGGUCGGGAUCAUAUCAGCUUCUUUUGUCCAUAAUUGCAUGAGAUCAGAAGAGGCCAGGAAGACCACAAUAGUUCUCAUAAAUGAACUCCAUUAUGAAUAGUCAUAUGCAAAUUUCCCACAUUCCUGUCCAAUAUCCUAAGGACAUGAUUGCAAGCUCCCAAAGCAUGUGGGGAAUGCUUAAUAGAUUCACCUUGGAUCCAGG